RNAcentral lists this ribosomal RNA (711 nucleotides) under uncultured fungus. Its description in RNAcentral is "eukaryotic LSU rRNA". The stretch from base 288 to 441 matches the Rfam family "5.8S ribosomal RNA". Lineage: Eukaryota; Fungi. The record is from RNAcentral.
CUUGGUCAUUUAGAGGAAGUAAAAGUCGUAACAAGGUUUCCGUAGGUGAACCUGCGGAAGGAUCAUUAUCGAGUUUUGAACGGGUUGUAGCUGGCCUCUCACGAGGCAUGUGCACGCCUGGCUCAUCCACUCUUAACCUCUGUGCACUUUAUGUAAGAGAAAAAAAUGGUGGAAGCUUCCAGGAUCUCGCGAGAGGUCUUCGGUUGAACAAGCCGUUUUUCUUUCUUAUGUUUUACUACAAACGCUUCAGUUAUAGAAUGUCAACUGUGUAUAACACAUUUAUAUACAACUUUCAGCAACGGAUCUCUUGGCUCUCGCAUCGAUGAAGAACGCAGCGAAAUGCGAUAAGUAAUGUGAAUUGCAGAAUUCAGUGAAUCAUCGAAUCUUUGAACGCACCUUGCACUCCUUGGUAUUCCGAGGAGUAUGCCUGUUUGAGUCUCAUGGUAUUCUCAACCCCUAAAUUUUUGUAAUGAAGGUUUAGCGGGCUGGGACUUGGAGGUUGUGUCGGCCCUUGUCGGUCGACUCCUCUGAAAUGCAUUAGCGUGAAUCUUACGGAUCGCCUUCAGUGUGAUAAUUAUCUGCGCUGUGGUGUUGAAGUAUUUAUGGUGUUCAUGCUUCGAACCGUCUCCUUGCCGAGACAAUCAUUUGACAAUCUGAGCUCAAAUCAGGUAGGACUACCCGCUGAACUUAAGCAUAUCAAUAAGCGGAGGA